This 755-nucleotide ribosomal RNA is filed under the name uncultured marine group I thaumarchaeote. RNAcentral describes it as "bacterial SSU rRNA". It matches the Rfam family "Archaeal small subunit ribosomal RNA", at positions 102 to 858 of the family's 1478-position model. The record is from RNAcentral. Lineage: Archaea; Thermoproteati; Nitrososphaerota.
AGUCAACCUAACCUAUGGACGGGAAUAACCUCGGGAAACUGAGAAUAAUGCCCGAUAGAACAUUAUGCCUGGAAUGGUUUAUGUUCCAAAUGAUUUAUCGCCGUAGGAUGGGACUGCGGCCUAUCAGUUUGUUGGUGAGGUAAUGGCCCACCAAGACUAUUACAGGUACGGGCUCUGAGAGGAGUAGCCCGGAGAUGGGUACUGAGACACGGACCCAGGCCCUAUGGGGCGCAGCAGGCGAGAAAACUUUGCAAUGUGCGAAAGCACGACAAGGUUAAUCCGAGUGGUUUCUGCUAAAGAAACCUUUUGUCAGUCCUGGAAACACUGAUGAAUAAGGGGUGGGCAAGUUCUGGUGUCAGCCGCCGCGGUAAAACCAGCACCUCAAGUGGUCAGGAUGAUUAUUGGGCCUAAAGCAUCCGUAGCCGGCUCUGUAAGUUUUCGGUUAAAUCUGUACGCUCAACGUACAGGCUGCCGGGAAUACUGCAGAGCUAGGGAGUGGGAGAGGUAGACGGUACUCGGUAGGAAGGGGUAAAAUCCUUUGAUCUAUUGAUGACCACCUGUGGCGAAGGCGGUCUACCAGAACACGUCCGACGGUGAGGGAUGAAAGCUGGGGGAGCAAACCGGAUUAGAUACCCGGGUAGUCCCAGCCGUAAACUAUGCAAACUCAGUGAUGCAUUGGCUUGUGGCCAAUGCAGUGCUGCAGGGAAGCCGUUAAGUUUGCCGCCUGGGAAGUACGUACGCAAGUAUGAAACUAA